UUCAUUUGAAGUGAAAAUUUGACCAUUUGAAUAUGAUAAAAAUAUUCAAUAAAAUAAACUAUUUUCUUGUAAAAUAAUUUUCAUAAAACUAUCGAUACAUAAUUCUUAUAGCGUAAAAGAUAAUUAUAUUCAUAUAUACUAUAAAGCAAAUAACCAAAGCAUAAAAUUUCUUUUACAGUGACACGUGGGCCCAUAUCUAUCCAAAAUGCAUCGGAAGCUGGAAACCUACAGCUUUUACCGAUUCGAGUCCAAAUGAAGGUCCUUGUUCAAGUCAGCUAACUACGAAA
RNAcentral lists this long non-coding RNA (287 nucleotides) under Theobroma cacao (cacao). RNAcentral describes it as "long non-coding RNA (TCAC_LNC002877)". The record is from RNAcentral. Lineage: Eukaryota; Viridiplantae; Streptophyta; Magnoliopsida; Malvales; Malvaceae.